Molecule: long non-coding RNA, 647 nt
Filed under: Capra hircus (goat)
Lineage: Eukaryota; Metazoa; Chordata; Mammalia; Artiodactyla; Bovidae
Description: lncRNA (ENSCHIG00000003664.1)
Source: RNAcentral
GGCCUUCUUUGGCCCGGGGCCCACUGCUCCCCGAACCCUGGCUGCCCACCCACCAUUUCUUCUUUGUGUCUCUCACUCGGGUUUUUCCACAGUUGGGAGAUGACAGUGUAAGGGAGAGGUGGAUGGGAUUUCCUCGUCUCUCUGGUUCUUGAUGUACUUCUGCAGAGCGUUUCAGAGUCAGAAUGUGGCUGACCCCUAUCACUAGUUUCUAACUGGUGGGUGAGGCUGGAAGCUGGAGUGGGCAACUGUAUUUGUUGAGAUAUCUUUCCCUACAGCUAUCUGGAAGAACAAGGGAAGUUCUGAUGCAGUUAGAGCAGGUGGCUCAGGAGGGCAGGGAAAAACACAGAAUUCUCCUGGCUGAGGUCUUCAGGAGGAGCUGAGCAGCUGAGUGACCUUGUGGCUGCUGGAAGAGGAUGCCUGAAGGGCUCAAGGGAAGGAGCAAGAGGGGCCAGGUGGAUUUAACAGUGAAGGGGUUGCCCGCAGGAGAUGACCCCAAGAGCCUGGGGAGUCACUAGAAACACAAUACAGGUAGCCUGUUAGGUUGGGACUUGCCUGAGGGAAGGGGCUGUGGUGUCUUCUUCCAGCCCCAGCUGACUUACAAGACCUGAUGUAAAUGUAGGUGUUAAAGGGAUAGUUUUUGAGUGAAU